This 57-nucleotide microRNA precursor is filed under the name Cavia porcellus (domestic guinea pig). RNAcentral's name for it is "microRNA cpo-mir-205 precursor". Its record names the gene cpo-mir-205. It matches the Rfam family "mir-205 microRNA precursor family", at positions 9 to 68 of the family's 75-position model. Lineage: Eukaryota; Metazoa; Chordata; Mammalia; Rodentia; Caviidae. The record is from miRBase by way of RNAcentral.
UCCUUCAUUCCACCGGAGUCUGUCUGCGGCAACCAGACUUCAGUGGAGUGAAGCUCA